Molecule: long non-coding RNA, 235 nt
Filed under: Elaeis guineensis (African oil palm)
Lineage: Eukaryota; Viridiplantae; Streptophyta; Magnoliopsida; Arecales; Arecaceae
Description: long non-coding RNA (EGUI_LNC016346)
Source: RNAcentral
UAUCAUAUAUAAAAUUGAGUGCUACAAUAAUUGUUCAUACACUCCUCUUCAUAUUCCAAGACCACUAUUCACGUCUAAUCAGUAGUUUAUCUUUAAUGCAUUUUAAAACCUUAGCAUUUAAUCUUCUUUUUUUACAAAGAGUUGUAAGGAUUUUCUAUUUCAUCAACUCCAUACUUAUAAUUUUCUCUUCACUUCUUCAACUUCCCCAUUACUUUCAAGCUUAGUUCAUCUCAGG